UUUCCGUAGGUGAACCUGCGGAAGGAUCAUUAACGAAGUCGAACCGCCAUCUGGGCUCUGGCCCGUUUGGCGCUCUUCCUCACCCUGUGCACCGUGCCUUUUUUUCGCGCAUUGACGAGUCGAGGAUGUCACUACCAAAAAUGAAAGGCACAAAACGAAGCAACGGAUCUCUUGGCUCUCGCAUCGAUGAAGAACGCAGC
This 200-nucleotide unclassified non-coding RNA is filed under the name uncultured fungus. RNAcentral's name for it is "sequence contains ITS1, 5.8S rRNA gene". The stretch from base 152 to 200 matches the Rfam family "5.8S ribosomal RNA", at positions 1 to 49 of the family's 154-position model. Lineage: Eukaryota; Fungi. The record is from RNAcentral.